Molecule: ribosomal RNA, 253 nt
Filed under: uncultured bacterium
Lineage: Bacteria
Description: partial 16S ribosomal RNA
Rfam family: Bacterial small subunit ribosomal RNA
Source: RNAcentral
UACAGAGGUGGCAAGCGUUGUUCGGAAUUACUGGGCGUAAAGGGCGCGUAGGCGGUCUUGCAAGUCCUGUGUGAAAUCCCUCGGCUCAACUGAGGAACUGCACAGGAAACUGCUUGGCUUGAGUUCGGGAGAGGGAAGCGGAAUUCCGGGUGUAGCGGUGAAAUGCGUAGAUAUCCGGAGGAACACCGGUGGCGAAGGCGGCAUCCUGGACCGAGAUUGACGCUGAGGCGCGAAAGCGUGGGGAGCAAACGGG